Pogoniulus pusillus (Red-fronted tinkerbird) is the source of this 273-nucleotide long non-coding RNA. RefSeq lists it as uncharacterized. The record is from RefSeq and is a predicted model, not a curated record. The transcript has 3 exons. NCBI's taxonomy places the organism in Eukaryota, Metazoa, Chordata, Aves, Piciformes, Lybiidae.
CCAACUCCUUCAGUCCGUCCUCAUAGCAGAGCUGCUCCAGCCCUCUGAGCAUCCUCGUGGCCAAGGCCUCCUGCCAGGAGCCUUCUCUGAGUUUCUUAAGAAGCAGACUGCGACAAAACAGGCAUGAAAUGAAAGGAAGUCCACUGGCAAAGCUUUCAACAUCACUGAGUUCACAGUCCCUGGGCAAAGACUUCAGGAAGAAGACAGUAAACUUGGAGUACGUUCCCUGAAGGAAGAUUCUUUGUGAAAAUGCAAUUUCCUUUAUUGUUUUUA